This 1528-nucleotide long non-coding RNA is filed under the name Homo sapiens (human). RNAcentral's name for it is "HSALNT0376436". Lineage: Eukaryota; Metazoa; Chordata; Mammalia; Primates; Hominidae. The record is from RNAcentral.
UUUUAGUAGAGACAGGGUUUUACCAUGUUGGCCAGGCUGGUCUCAGACUUCUGACCUUAGGUGAUCCACCCAUCUUGGUCUCCCAAAGUGCUGGGAUUACAGGCAUGAGCCACCAUGCCCGGACUGGACUCCUUCUUUUUUAUGGCUGCAUAGUAUUCCAUGGUGUAUAUGUGCCACAUUUUCUUUGACAUACCGAGGGAUUGCAUAUGUUAAAUGGAAAUUUUAUAAAGAAGCAACUCAAGAUUUUUCUGCUGCAAUUCACUUAGAUCCUAAUAACUGGUUAGCGUUGUAUUAUCGAGGUUGCUUAUUCAGAAAGAGUAACCCUUUUAGAGCGCUACAGGAUUAUAGUGUUUCAGCACACUCCUGGUUUAUGCAUGUGCCCAGCACAAUUGUGAGCAUAGAGUCAGUGCUCAGUAAACAGCCUCCAACAGAAUGAAUGAGUCCAUCCUGACUGAUGAAAUCCAGCCUGAGUCUAACACUCCAGAUAUGCCUGUGUUCACCUGGGUGCAAAGUUCUGGAAUCCCAUCAUCCUAGAUUAGACAGUGUCUAGAGAUGAAGAGACAACUAGAUUUCCACAGGGAAGAAGAGCUAAGCACUCAUAAAUGAUGGCUAUGAGAAUCUUGGUUGUUUUCUACAUCGGGGAAUAGUCUAUGCACAUCUAAAACUUUGGCUGCUGGCAAUUUGUGACUUUGAAACUGUCAUUUCUCUAGAAAGAACUAUUACUUUGGCUUAUGUAAAUAUUGGCCUCAUACAUCUGCUACACCUGGAUAACUACACGGAAGCUAUUUGGCAAUUUUCUGAGGCUAUUAGAAUUGAUCCUUUAUGUAUUCAAAGCUAUCUUUGUCGGGCGGAAACCUAUUUUAAGUUGCAUAAAUUGAAAAAGGCAGUAAAUGAAUUGUCUCGUGCUAUCCACCUUCAGCCAGAUGGAAUCCAAUUAUACAUAAGAAGAGGACAAUAUCUUCUUAUGAUGAAAUAUUAUGAUCUUGCAAAGUUUACUAUUUAUCAAAUAGCAGAAAUGGACAAAGGUCUCAGUGAGUUGAGUCCUAUGCAGCAAGCCCUUAUUUAUUCAUUUUGUGAAAACCAUGACAAGGCCAUUGAGGUCUUGGACGGAAUCAGCUGGAAUAGAGCUGAGAUGACCAUGUGUGCUCUAUUAGCAAAAGUUCAAAUGAAGGCCAAGAGAACCAAGGGACGUGGAUGGAGCUGGAAGCCAUUAUCCUCAGCAAACUAAUGCAGAAACAGAAAACCAAGCCCUGCAUGUUAUAAAUGGGAGCUGAACAAUGAGAACACAUGGACACAAGGAGGGGAACAACACACACUGGGGCCUGUAGGAAAAAGGGUGCGGGGAGACAGAGCAUUAGGAAAAACAGCUAAUGCGUGCUGGGCUUAAUACUUAGGUGGUGGGUUGGUAGGUGCAGCAAACCACCAUGGCACGUGUUUACCUUUGUAACAAACCUGUAUAUCCUGCAUAUGUACCCUGGUACUUAAAAUAAAAUAAAAAAAAAAUGAAACUGGGGCUGUCAGUCCUGGA